GGAUCCUUCCAGCUGAACAAAGUCAGCCACAAAGCAGACUAGCCAGCCGGCUACAAUUGGAGUCAGAGUCCCAAAGACAUGGGCUUGUUAGAGUGCUGUGCAAGAUGUCUGGUAGGGGCCCCCUUUGCUUCCCUGGUGGCCACUGGAUUGUGUUUCUUUGGGGUGGCACUGUUCUGUGGCUGUGGACAUGAAGCCCUCACUGGCACAGAAAAGCUAAUUGAGACCUAUUUCUCCAAAAACUACCAGGACUAUGAGUAUCUCAUCAAUGUGAUCCAUGCCUUCCAGUAUGUCAUCUAUGGAACUGCCUCUUUCUUCUUCCUUUAUGGGGCCCUCCUGCUGGCUGAGGGCUUCUACACCACCGGCGCAGUCAGGCAGAUCUUUGGCGACUACAAGACCACCAUCUGCGGCAAGGGCCUGAGCGCAACGGUAACAGGGGGCCAGAAGGGGAGGGGUUCCAGAGGCCAACAUCAAGCUCAUUCUUUGGAGCGGGUGUGUCAUUGUUUGGGAAAAUGGCUAGGACAUCCCGACAAGGUGAUCAUCCUCAGGAUUUUGUGGCAAUAACAAGGGGUGGGGGAAAAUUGGGCGCGAGUCUGUGGCCUCGUCCCCACCCAAGGCUGGGUCCUCUCUAGGGGCCUGGCAUUUGAGUGAGGAAGCGAUGGCUGCAGCCGAACGAGAAGGUCAGGAAGAACGUGGUGCCCAGCUGGCUUAGGCUCGCCUUUCAAAGGUUCCCCAAGCAAAUUUCUUCUCAAAACAGAAAGCAUGAGUUUUGUGAGAUGCUUUGUACAAUCAGACCAU
Molecule: small RNA, 795 nt
Filed under: Pongo abelii (Sumatran orangutan)
Lineage: Eukaryota; Metazoa; Chordata; Mammalia; Primates; Hominidae
Description: retained intron
Source: RNAcentral